This is a long non-coding RNA of Halichondria panicea, 973 nucleotides long. RefSeq lists it as uncharacterized. Lineage: Eukaryota; Metazoa; Porifera; Demospongiae; Suberitida; Halichondriidae. The transcript is spliced from 3 exons. The record is from RefSeq and is a predicted model, not a curated record.
AAAGUGGGUGUGUCUGCUCAGCACAUAAAGAAGAACCACAACAACAGAUUGUAUAAAGCCUUGUAAAGCUGUAGGUAACUGAAUGGCAGAUAUGGACUCACAGGACAAUGGUUUUCCUCCACCAAUCUUUUCUUUCCUGGAGGAAGAAGACCAACCAAAGAAACGUCUCGCUGAUCCAAUCACCACUCCUCGAAAGGGACCACUUGCUUUAAGCAAGUUAGUUCCACAACAAACUGUUAUUCAAAGAACAAAAACGCAUCAUCAACCGUUUCCCAAGCAAAGGUGGCUGAAUCGAUUUCCUGUUCCCAACUUGCAGAGACCAAUAGAUGCCAUAGAAAGCAGCCUGGGUGUGCUGUCAUUUGCUGAGCUUAGGCAACAAGCUAUUACCGAUUGGAGCAGUGAGCGGCAUAACCCAGUCCUGCCUACAUCACUGAACCCUCUAAUGAAGUACAGUACUAUGGGAGUCGGUCAUCACGGUAACUUUGUUACAGAGAGCCACACCCACAAAACGAGUGGACCUAUGGACAUACUGAUAACAUACAGUCGGCACACCACACCCACGCACUAUCUAACGCACAGCUUGACCUCAUCGCUACCUCACAAGCAGUCUACAUACCUACCAACCAGUCAGGCUACACAAAUAAGACGCAAUACACCGACUAGAACUACGCUAUCUUCUCGCGAUCGAAUGAACACACAAGCAUUGAAAAACGAGGAUCGAAAUUAUAAUAUGGACAUAAGCCACCCCCUUCUAUCACCAAGGCAACAUGAUUCAGGAGUGCUGAUUGGUGCCGGGAUGAUGAGACCGUCUAUAGCCCCCCCUAGCUUACACGCAGUGGCUGUACACAAAUUCAAGCCUGUCACAGCUCAGACUAUUGUUAAAGGACAACGCCUGUACCCACACUCACUAAAUAUAUAGCUAGAGUUUAAUAAUGAUUGUCAUGAUCAAAUUAUUUUAUUACGUAAUCAUUGA